GCUUGUCUCAAAGAUUAAGCCAUGCAUGUCUAAGUACAAGCCUCAGUAAGGUGAAACCGCGAAUGGCUCAUUAAAUCACACCUAAUCUACUGGAAAGUUACUAGUUACUUGGAUAACUGAGGUAAUUCUUGAGCUAAUACAUGCGAAAAAUCUCGACUCACGGAGAGAUGCUUUUAUUAGAUCAAAACCAAACGGCUUCGGCCGUCUCAUUGGUGACUCUGAAUAACUUUGGGCUGAUCGUAUGGCCUUGUGCUAGCGACAGUCCACUCGAUUUUCUGCCCUAUCAUGGUUGAGAUUGUAAGAUAGAGGCUUACAAUGCCUACAACGGGUAACGGGGAAUUAGGGUUCGAUUCCGGAGAGGGAGCCUGAGAAACGGCUACCACAUCCAAGGAAGGCAGCAGG
This 402-nucleotide ribosomal RNA is filed under the name Crustacea environmental sample. RNAcentral's name for it is "partial small subunit ribosomal RNA". It matches the Rfam family "Eukaryotic small subunit ribosomal RNA", at positions 30 to 432 of the family's 1831-position model. The record is from RNAcentral. Lineage: Eukaryota; Metazoa; Arthropoda.